This 75-nucleotide transfer RNA is filed under the name Weissella ceti. RNAcentral describes it as "tRNA-Glu". It matches the Rfam family "tRNA". From Rfam's summary of the family: Transfer RNA (tRNA) molecules are approximately 80 nucleotides in length. Their secondary structure includes four short double-helical elements and three loops (D, anti-codon, and T loops). The record is from RNAcentral. Lineage: Bacteria; Bacillati; Bacillota; Bacilli; Lactobacillales; Lactobacillaceae. RNAcentral also lists the same sequence under 1 other name.
UGGCCCAUUGGUCAAGUGGUUAAGACUCCGGUUUUUCACACCGGCAUCCAGGGUUCAAUUCCCUGAUGGGCUAUC